Molecule: ribosomal RNA, 289 nt
Filed under: uncultured bacterium
Lineage: Bacteria
Description: partial 16S ribosomal RNA
Rfam family: Bacterial small subunit ribosomal RNA
Source: RNAcentral
GUGGAUUAGAUACCCUAGUAGUCCACGCGGUAAACGAUGUCAACUAGCCGUUGGGAACGCUUAAGUUUUCAGUGGCGCAGCUAACGCGAUAAGUUGACCGCCUGGGGAGUACGGCCGCAAGGUUAAAACUCAAAUGAAUUGACGGGGGCCCGCACAAGCGGUGGAGCAUGUGGUUUAAUUCGAUGCAACGCGAAGAACCUUACCUGGCCUUGACAUGCUUGGAAUCCUGCAGAGAUGUGGGAGUGCCUUCGGGAGCCAAGACACAGGUGCUGCACGGUUGUCGUCAGCU